RNAcentral lists this ribosomal RNA (528 nucleotides) under uncultured archaeon. RNAcentral's name for it is "bacterial SSU rRNA". It matches the Rfam family "Archaeal small subunit ribosomal RNA", at positions 325 to 853 of the family's 1478-position model. The record is from RNAcentral.
ACGGGGUGCAGCAGGCGCGAAAUCUUCACAAUGUGCGAGAGCACGAUGAGGGGAUCCCAAGUGCUUGGCACGUAAGUGUCAGCUGUUUCUUAGUCUAAAAAACUGAGAGAGUAAGAGCUGGGUAAGACGGGUGCCAGCCGCCGCGGUAAUACCUGCAGCUCAAGUGGUGGCCGCUAUUAUUGGGCCUAAAACGUCCGUAGCCGGUUUAGUAAAUGCCUGGGUAAAUUGUGUAGCUUAACUAUACGAAUUCCGGGUAGACUGCUAAACUUGGGACCGGGAGAGGCUAGAGGUACUCCUGGGGUAGAGGUGAAAUUCUGUAAUCCUAGGGGGACCACCAGUGGCGAAGGCGUCUAGCUAGAACGGGUCUGACGGUGAGGGACGAAGCCCUGGGGCGCAAACCGGAUUAGAUACCCGGGUAGUCCAGGGUGUAAACGCUGCUUGCUUGAUGUUAGUUGGGCUCCGAGCCCAACUAGUGUCGGAGAGAAGUUGUUAAGCAAGCUGCCUGGGAAGUACGGUCGCAAGACUGAA